Molecule: ribosomal RNA, 440 nt
Filed under: uncultured bacterium
Lineage: Bacteria
Description: partial 16S ribosomal RNA
Rfam family: Bacterial small subunit ribosomal RNA
Source: RNAcentral
CCUACGUGCGGCAGCAGUCGAGAAUCAUUCACAAUGGGGGAAACCCUGAUGCAGCAACGCCGCGUGAGUGAUGACGGCCUUCGGGUUGUAAAGCUCCGUCUUCAGGGACGAUAAUGACGGUACCUGAGGAGCAAGCAACGGAUAACUACGUGCCAGCAGCCGCGGUAAUACGCAGGGGGCGAGCGUGGUCCGGAUUUACUGGGGGUAAAGGUAGCGUAGGCGGACUUUUAAGUGAGAUGUGAAAUGCUCGGGAUUAACUUGAGUGCGGAAUGUCAAACGGUAAGUCUAGAGUGCAGGAGAGGAGAAUGGAAUUCCUGGUGUAGCGGUGAAAUGCGUAGAGAUUAGGAAGAACACCAGUGGCGAAGGCGAUUCUCUGGACUGUAACUGACGCUGAGGCUCGAAAGCGUGGGGAGCAAACAGGAUUAGAUACCCUUGUAGUC